CAGAAACCAUGUUGUCUGUAACUCUGCUGCUGCUGUUGGCAGCUGGAUCCUGUGUGAAGUGUGAACAGUUGACUCAGCCAGAAUCUGUGACUGUGCAGCCAGGUCAACGUCUCUCCAUCACCUGUCAGGUCUCUUAUUCUGUUAGUGGCUACUGGACAGCUUGGAUCAGACAACCUGCAGGAAAAGGACUGGAGUGGAUUGGACAAAGAGUUAGUACCACGACAUACUACAAAGAUUCACUGAAGAACAAGUUCAGUAUCGAAUUAGACUCUUCCAGCAAAACAGUGACUCUAAAUGGACAGAAUAUGCAGCCUGAAGACUCUGCUGUGUAUUACUGUGCCAGAGACACACAGUGACACAAAUGAUCAGUAGACCUGAACAAAAACCCCUCAGAGCCUGAACACUGUAACAUGAAGCCACCAGAGGAGGAGCCCUCA
Molecule: non-coding RNA, 437 nt
Organism: Amphiprion ocellaris (clown anemonefish)
Lineage: Eukaryota; Metazoa; Chordata; Actinopteri; Pomacentridae
Source: the annotation of a RefSeq genome assembly